AAAGGUAAGCUACUAAGAGCGAAUGGUGGAUGCCUUGACUGGUAAAGGCGAUGAAGGACGUACUAGACUGCGAUAAGCUACGGGGAGCUGUCAAGAAGCUUUGAUCCGUAGAUUUCCGAAUGGGGCAACCCAAUGUAUAGAGAUAUACAUUACCUAUAUAGGAGCGAACGAGGGGAAUUGAAACAUCUUAGUACCCUCAGGAAAAGAAAUCAAUAGAGAUUGCGUCAGUAGCGGCGAGCGAAAGCGCAAGAGGGCAAACCCAGUGCUUGCACUGGGGGUUGUAGGACUGCAAUGUGCAAGAGGUAAGUUUAGCAGAACAUUCUGGAAAGUAUAACCAUAGAGGGUGAUAGUCCCGUAUGCGAAAAACAAACCUUAGCUAGCAGUAUCCUGAGUAGGGCGGGACACGAGGAAUCCUGUCUGAAUCCGGGUCGACCACGAUCCAACCCUAAAUACUAAUACCAGAUCGAUAGUGCACAAGUACCGUGAGGGAAAGGUGAAAAGAACUGAGGUGAUCAGAGUGAAAUAGAACCUGAAACCAUUUGCUUACAAUCAUUCAGAGC
Molecule: ribosomal RNA, 560 nt
Filed under: Campylobacter jejuni
Lineage: Bacteria; Pseudomonadati; Campylobacterota; Epsilonproteobacteria; Campylobacterales; Campylobacteraceae
Description: partial 23S ribosomal RNA
Rfam family: Bacterial large subunit ribosomal RNA
Source: RNAcentral